AACGAACGCUGGCGGCAUGCCUAACACAUGCAAGUCGAACGAGACCUUCGGGUCUAGUGGCGCACGGGUGCGUAACGCGUGGGAACCUGCCCUUAGGUUCGGAAUAACUCCCCGAAAGGGGUGCUAAUACCGGAUAUUGUCUUCGGACCAAAGAUUUAUCGCCUUUGGAUGGGCCCGCGUUGGAUUAGCUAGUUGGUAGGGUAAAAGCCUACCAAGGCGACGAUCCUUAGCUGGUCUGAGAGGAUGAGCAGCCACACUGGUACUGAGACACGGCCCAGACUCCUACGGGAAGCAGCAGUGGGGAAUAUUGGACAAGGGGCGAAAGCAUGAUCCAGCAAUGCCGCGUGAGUGAUGAAGGCCUUAGGGUAGUAAAGCUCUUUUACCCGAGAUGAUAAUGACAGUACCGGGAGAAUAAGCUCCGGCUAACUCCGUG
RNAcentral lists this ribosomal RNA (433 nucleotides) under uncultured bacterium. Its description in RNAcentral is "partial 16S ribosomal RNA". It matches the Rfam family "Bacterial small subunit ribosomal RNA", at positions 29 to 507 of the family's 1533-position model. The record is from RNAcentral.